UUGAUACUCGUUUCCCGUGUCU
This 22-nucleotide non-coding RNA is filed under the name Arabidopsis thaliana (thale cress). The record is from RNAcentral. Lineage: Eukaryota; Viridiplantae; Streptophyta; Magnoliopsida; Brassicales; Brassicaceae.